Molecule: long non-coding RNA, 327 nt
Organism: Dipodomys spectabilis (banner-tailed kangaroo rat)
Lineage: Eukaryota; Metazoa; Chordata; Mammalia; Rodentia; Heteromyidae
Exons: 3
Source: RefSeq, a predicted model, not a curated record
GCCUCCCACCCCCACCUGGGGAACUUUGCCCCAGCCUGAGAAGAGCUCAGACCAGAAGGCCACGAGGGAAGGCAGGAGAUCCUGAGCUGCGGGAUGCUGGGCUGUUGGAGCUCUUAUCGGGCGCCCCGCACGGGAACCCCAGGACCGGGAGGGAAGCCGCGCCAGGCCGGAAGGGCUCCGCGCCAGGGGUCCUCCCGGAAGUGCACCUCUCCCCGGGGUCCCCCCAGCCCUGCAGCGCGAGGCUGCGAACCCACCUGCCCCAGUGCGGCUGCGGCCAUGACGGGUGCGCCGAGUAACAGUGCCGGCCGGGGGCGCGGCAUGGGGGGG